UAAAAUGAUGCUUGAAAAUGAUCAAUAUGUAUAUCAAUAUAUGCAGGAGUUGUGUGUUUAAAAUCAGCUCAAAAGACCUCUUUUUAUAAGUGAAAAAGUAGUGCUGACCGUUGCUUAAUUGACAAAUCAAAUCCCUGAUUCUGUUCUCAAACAAUCGAUUGUUUGGAGGUGACAAUCGAUUGUCUGACCAACGUUCAAAA
RNAcentral lists this long non-coding RNA (200 nucleotides) under Nicotiana benthamiana. Its description in RNAcentral is "long non-coding RNA (NBEN_LNC003500)". The record is from RNAcentral. Lineage: Eukaryota; Viridiplantae; Streptophyta; Magnoliopsida; Solanales; Solanaceae.